This is a long non-coding RNA of Cyprinus carpio (common carp), 2123 nucleotides long. RefSeq lists it as uncharacterized. The transcript is spliced from 2 exons. Lineage: Eukaryota; Metazoa; Chordata; Actinopteri; Cypriniformes; Cyprinidae. The record is from RefSeq and is a predicted model, not a curated record.
GUUGAGUUUAUACAUGUCCUAUGUGAACAGAACUGCACUUGGCAGCUUUAUACAAUGCAAGUUCUGUUUUUAAAUCCAGCUGAUGCCUUUCUUUUUUAAAACGUAAAGGAAUGGACCUUGGAUAAAUGUUUUCAAUGAGAACACAUGGGCUAAAAUGUUUGUUUUAUCUUAAAGUCCAAGGUAAGAACAUUCAGGUCUCUAAAUUUGUGCAGCCAAGUAGGUUUGCAGCAUAUUUUUGCAACCAACAAUGUGGAAGUGCAAAGAAAGAUAUUCAAAUUAUGCUUAUUUCUAAUUACAGUAGAGCUGAAGCACACAGAGUAAUGCAGUACUGCAUAUGAUGGUGUAAAUUGUCUUUAAAAGACAAACUGUGAAUAUUUAGUUGCGUAACAAAAGUUUUAAAUGUGAUUUAGAACUGUUACACAAGUGCCUACAUCAGGAUCAUUGUAAAGUUUGCAAACAAAGUUGUUAAUAUGGCUUAUGUCACAAAAACUGUUUUUCUGAACUUCAACACUUUGUCAUCUCCCUUUAUUAAGUCUCUGCCAGAUCAUUUACCUUUGCAAUUCAUCAAGUUUAGAAUAUGCUUCAUUUGGCCAGGCCAGGGCUUGUCUCCCUGAAGAAUAAAUCCCAAACACAUCUUCUGUUUUAUGGAAGUCUACCAGUCAUUAAUCUAUGAACACAUGGGAUAAUAAGGCAAUCAAUUAUGCGGAAAAAGCACGCUUUUGCAAUUAUGGGCAAACAUUGGGAAGUUUUCCUUGGGGAUGUGCAGGGACAGUCAAAUUGAGGAUAAAUAUGCUGUUACUUUACUUUUUGAUCAAAUUUAUUUUCACUUAGUAGAUGAUGAAACACAGGCAGCACCACUCAGAUAUUCUUUAGAUUGUAAACAUCUAGUUGCAGUCUGAUGUGUUGUUUCAAGUGCACCUGUCUUUUGUCACAGAAACCCAAGUAGGAUGGAAAUUGAGGAGGUAGAUGAAGAGAUAUCAGUCAACCCCUACGAGACAGCCUUUGAUCCCUAUUCCUCCGCCCCAUCCCAAGAUCCAGAAGGUAGAAGAAAUCUCAAGAUUCAUCUCAAGGAAAUCUCAGAUUCGGCCUGCCUUUUUCUGUCCAGGCAUGAAGAUGCAUCUCUCUGGUGGCUGUCCUGAUGAACCUGGUGUGUGUGAGAAGCUUUGGUUGAGCGUAAUGUCCAGAGCAGCUUAAAAAUACACAAAAGUCUUUUUCUAUCAAUGUUCCAGUUUUCUGACUGGAUUCACCAUCCCAGCCUAGCAGAGCAUUCUGUUCAAGACUUGCUAAAGAAACAGCCUUUGACCUCUGACCUGUGCUUAAAGGAGGACAGAGAUUAAGAGGUUUGGAUGCUCAGUCAGUAGAGCUUGAGGAAUAUUUUUUGUUUAGAGUUACAGCAUAUGAGCUCUUAAAAUCAAACUCACACGGACCGAAAAGCCUCCAGAGUUCUUGAGUCUAAAAGUGGCUGUAACUUGUCACUAUGUAGUGAAACUUCACACCAGAGUCGAAACAUCUGCGAUACCUCACUGUUGUUUCAGGGAGACUGCAUAAGAUGGUUAUGAAAUAGUCUGAUACUUUAAAAUGGACGCUUGGUGCCUUUAAAUAAUUCAGGAAUGUGAAUCAGUGCCGCUCGACAGAAUUUGAUUAUUUUUAUCUGAAAUGUUUGUUUCAGUUCAUGUCUAGCAGUCAAACAAAUUGUUUUUCUAACAUGAGUUAAAAUGUAAAUGUUGGAUUUAUUCUGAUUGCACAAAUAAAAAGCUUUUUCCUUAAUGAAUUGUUCGUUUCAUUCAGAAAUAUGUUACAAUAUUACACCAGAUGUAUGUUUCACAAAUUAAGUUUGAGAGGGUUUGUAUAUUUUGUGCUUCAUUGUUUACUGAAAGAUGUUUACUGAUUAUAUGCUGCAUAUUUAACACUAUUUUAUCUCUGACGACUGAUAAAUGUCACCAUGUCCUAAACUGUGCUUUCAAUAAAAGUAACAUGAUCAUAAAUGGUGUCUGAAAGAAAUAGACAUUUCAGCUGUUUUCAUAUCCAUAUGAUCUCCUGAUCAGUAACAGAUGUCAAUGAUAUGAACGUCAAAUAUAUUAUGUGAAUGUUAAUAAAGUCUCUGAACUCAUGGGAUCUUCUAA